Molecule: ribosomal RNA, 466 nt
Filed under: uncultured bacterium
Lineage: Bacteria
Description: partial 16S ribosomal RNA
Rfam family: Bacterial small subunit ribosomal RNA
Source: RNAcentral
GAUGAACGCUGGCGGCGUGCUUAACACAUGCAAGUCGAACGAUGAAGCCCAGCUUGCUGGGUGGAUUAGUGGCGAACGGGUGAGUAACACGUGAGUAACCUGCCCUUAACUCUGGGACAAGCCUGGGAAACUGGGUCUAAUACCGGAUAGGAGCGUCCACCGCAUGGUGGGUGUUGGAAAGAUUUAUCGGUUUUGGAUGGACUCGCGGCCUAUCAGCUUGUUGGUGAGGUAAUGGCUCACCAAGGCGACGACGGGUAGCCGGCCUGAGAGGGUGACCGGCCACACUGGGACUGAGACACGGCCCAGACUCCUACGGGAGGCAGCAGUGGGGAAUAUUGCACAAUGGGCGCAAGCCUGAUGCAGCGACGCCGCGUGAGGGAUGACGGCCUUCGGGUUGUAAACCUCUUUCAGUAGGGAAGAAGCGAAAGUGACGGUACCUGCAGAAGAAGCACCGGCUAACUACGUG